Molecule: long non-coding RNA, 830 nt
Organism: Thamnophis elegans (Western terrestrial garter snake)
Lineage: Eukaryota; Metazoa; Chordata; Lepidosauria; Squamata; Natricidae
Exons: 3
Source: RefSeq, a predicted model, not a curated record
GCCUCCCUCAACUUUAAAUGCGUUGCCUGCGGGAAAGAAACUCUGCAAGACGGAACUUCGAGAGGUCAGAGUGAGUUGCGGCUCGGCUGAGUAUGGUAAAGUGGUAACGCCUUUGGCCUUUGGGAAAACCGCCUGCGGGACGAGAUUAAAUCGAAGUCUGAAAAGAGACGCGUUGCAGCUCAGCUCGUUCGAAAAGAAAUUGGUGAGGAUAUAUAGCCAAUAGAAGAAAGCACCCUUGUCUUCCAAAGAGGAUAAAGUCAGCAGGAUGGCUCAGCAGGGAACUACUCUCCAGGGCUGCAAUAAUGAACUUGUGAAGUAUAUGGAAGAGUUGUGCAUGCAAAAGACAGAAGUAGACGAACAAAUUGCAAAAUUGAUAGCAGACAAAACUAAGAUUCAAAAUGAAAUUGAGAUGUUAACCAUACAACUGGAAAGUAUAAGUGAAAGUUUACUUUGGAAAAAUGCAAUUCAAAAGAAGCUUGAUACCAUUCUUGCUGAAGGAAUAUUCGCAUAUGACAAGAUUUUGGACAGUUCUAAAAUAUUGUUAGAUGUCUUGAAAAAAGAGAUAGAGAAUUUAGACAAACUGAUAGCAUUGAAAAAGAUAUUCAGUGAAUCAAUGACAUCUUCCGAAUCUGACUAAGCCAAUGUUAACACUGGGAAACGAAUGGGUUAAGAAAUGCCAUCUUUUAUUUUUCUAUUAUUUGCUUUAUUAAAUUAUCUUUAUUAAUGGGUAAGGAAAGUAGUUUUCAAAUAAUAUGUAGAAAUAAAGCAUCUGAAAACUCACUAAGGACAAGCUAUUGAAAAUGAAAGGUUACUCAAGUUCUAGAAUUAUU